This 364-nucleotide ribosomal RNA is filed under the name uncultured bacterium. RNAcentral describes it as "partial 16S ribosomal RNA". It matches the Rfam family "Bacterial small subunit ribosomal RNA", at positions 338 to 699 of the family's 1533-position model. The record is from RNAcentral.
CCUACGGGUGGCAGCAGUGAGGAAUAUUGGACAAUGGCCGGAAGGCUGAACCAGCCAUGCCGCGUGAAGGUAAGUGCCCCAUGGGCGUUAAACUUCUUUUGUGCGGGAGCAAUAAUGGUCACGUGUGGCCAGACGAGAGGACCGUACGAAUAAGCAUCGGCUAACUCCGUGCCAGCAGCCGCGGUAAGACGGGGGAUGCAAGCGUUAUCGGGGUUUAUUGGGUUUAAAGGGUGCGUAGGCUGUGAGGUAGGUCAGCGGUGAAAUGCCCCCGCUCAACGGGGUGAAGUGCCAUUGAUACUGCCUUGCUGGAGUGCGGAUGCCGUGGGAGGAAUGUGUGGUGUAGCGGUGAAAUGCAUAGAUAUCA